GACGAACGCUGGCGGCGUGCUUAACACAUGCAAGUCGAACGGAAAGGCCCUGCUUGCAGGGUACUCGAGUGGCGAACGGGUGAGUAAUACGUGGGUGAUCUGCCCUGCACUUCGGGAUAAGCUUGGGAAACUGGGUCUAAUACCGGAUAGGAGCCAUCUUUAGUGUGGUGGUUGGAAAGUUUUUUCGGUGUAGGAUGAGCUCGCGGCCUAUCAGCUUGUUGGUGGGGUAAUGGCCUACCAAGGCGGCGACGGGUAGCCGGCCUGAGAGGGUGUACGGCCACAUUGGGACUGAGAUACGGCCCAGACUCCUACGGGAGGCAGCAGUGGGGAAUAUUGCACAAUGGGCGCAAGCCUGAUGCAGCGACGCCGCGUGGGGGAUGAAGGCCUUCGGGUUGUAAACUCCUUUCGCUAGGGACGAAGCUUUUUUGUGACGGUACCUAGAUAAGAAGCACCGGCUAACUACGUG
RNAcentral lists this ribosomal RNA (466 nucleotides) under uncultured bacterium. RNAcentral describes it as "partial 16S ribosomal RNA". It matches the Rfam family "Bacterial small subunit ribosomal RNA", at positions 28 to 507 of the family's 1533-position model. The record is from RNAcentral.